AGUAGUUGUAGUCCUCGGUCGUCAGGAGUGAACGGCUCGGCGGCGGUGCUUAACUACAUAGCAAGUACGAACGAAGACACUUAAGUAACGGAGUUACUUCGUUUGUAGUCUUAUUUGUACUGAGUGGCGGACGGGUGAGUAACGCGUGGGUAACCUGCCUCAUACAGGGGGAUAACAGUUAGAAAUGACUGCUAAUACCGCAUAAGCGCACGGUCUCGCAUGGGACGGUGUGAAAAACUCCGGUGGUAUGAGAUGGACCCGCGUCUGAUUAGCUGGUUGGCGAGUAAGGGCUCACCAAGGCGACGAUCAGUAGCCGGCCUGAGAGGGUGAACGGCCACAUUGGGACUGAGACACGGCCCAAACUCCUACGGGAGGCAGCAGUGGGGAAUAUUGCACAAUGGGGGAAACCCUGAUGCAGCGACGCCGCGUGAAGGAAGAAGUAUUUCGGUAUGUAAACUUCUAUCAGCAGGGAAGAAAAUGACGGUACCUGACUAGGAAGCCCCGGCUAACUACGUG
Molecule: ribosomal RNA, 516 nt
Filed under: uncultured Lachnospiraceae bacterium
Lineage: Bacteria; Bacillati; Bacillota; Clostridia; Lachnospirales; Lachnospiraceae
Description: bacterial SSU rRNA
Rfam family: Bacterial small subunit ribosomal RNA
Source: RNAcentral